Molecule: long non-coding RNA, 4439 nt
Organism: Melospiza melodia melodia
Lineage: Eukaryota; Metazoa; Chordata; Aves; Passeriformes; Passerellidae
Exons: 5
Source: RefSeq, a predicted model, not a curated record
GCGGCCCCGGCGGCAUCGGGCGCGACACGGCACGGCCGGCGCCCCUCACCUGGAUGCGGGACUCGGGGAUCUGCGUGGCGUCGGCCAGUUUCUCCCGCAGAUGCACGUUAAAUGCACCUGGAAAGCCGCAGCAGAGGCAGACAUCGGUGUCAUCACCUUUUCCACCACUUGCUAAUGCCUUUACACAUCACACUGGCACAUCCCGUGUGCUUCUGCCAAAACUGAUUCCCAGACGAGAGGUCUUGUGCUGAAACGCUGCCUGCACACCCCAACAACACCAAGGCACUUAAAACGGAGAGAAACUUCUGGUGCUUUUGUCUGUGCUGGGAAUGCCUCAGCACUGAGGCAUCUGUGCCAAGAGGACUCACAACACAAAAUGUGCCUGUACCUGCAAUGAAACAGCUCUAAGCUUCAGCUGGAGGACACACUCUCACAUCACUGCUGCCAGCUCUGAGCAUCCAGCAAGGGCAAGACAGGCUGUGAAACACCACGGCUGGGGAGCAGCAGGGGGAGAUGGGCCCUGUGCUUGUGUCUCAUGGUCACUGAGAAAAGGAUCCAAAUGUGAAGCAAGUUUUGCUCCAAUGGUUCAAAACCAGAAGAAAAUACACCAGAACCAGAACUGUCCUCAUAUGGUUGGAUGCCUGUUACAAUAUGAACACAAACCCAUGGUCUUUCUCUGCCCUUGGCUGCCCUGGUGCUGUUAAAAUCCACCAAGUUUUCCCUCUCUGAGUAGGACUGCCUGGAGAAUCCUUCAUCUGGCUUCCCUGUGCUUCCCUGCUGCUUCUCAGGCAUGUGCCAAGCUUUUCUUCCCUGCCCCUGGAAGGCUCUCUGUGCUGCUGGACACAUGGCAAAAAGCAAAUUCAUUUACUGCUGCAGAUGGGACAGCUGCAAUCCAAGGUGGAUGGAGAGUGACUCCAGGCUGGGGUGAUCUCAAUAGAUCUCUACUGCCAUCUUAGCCACCCCCACAUCUUUACAAGACCACCCUUUUCCUCUUUUGCAGUCACAUCUUUGCAGCUGGGAUGCCUCUUACAUAAGGUAUUUGAGGUAAGAGAAGGUUUAAAGGAAUGCUGAGGGUUUGCUGCAGGUCUGAGUGAUCAAAAAAGGUGCAGCAGUGUCACGGUGUAGGUUUCUAUUUGCAGUUCCACUGCUGCUGGCCUCUUUUGUCACUCACUGACAAUGCCUGAAAUAUGGCUAUAGACAAAAUGUUUAUGACAGUGGCUGGAGAUUGCAGAGCUGGGCAGGAUAUCACAUCUGUCACAGCAUCACCUGGCUGUUUUACAUCAUGUGUGUCCUGGUCAGUGCCAGCAUAGCAGUGUUCAUGGUUUUCUGGCAUUUCAAAACCACUUUAUUUCUCUCAAAUUUUGCCAGGAUAAGGGCAGAAGUGAGAAGAUAAUGAGUUUUCUUUGAUUAAUCUCACUUGGUUAAGCUCUCCUUCCUCUGUGCUUUGUAUUUUUACCAACUACUGCACCAAGGGUCCUGGCAUAUACACAGUAGUUCAGGAUAAAAAGGGAACCUGCUGCCACUAAAAAUCCUGACAGAACAAGGACUGAUCCUACCUGCUCACAGAGCUUGAUUUUGCAUCUCUUCAGCCAAAUGGUGAUCUUUCCUCUGGCUGCAUGGAGCAAACUCCUGCUUUAGGGACCAGGAUAAUUCUUAAGAGCCACACAGGUGUCCAGCCAAGCAAAUCCUCCCUGAUGUUGCACUCUUUCCCCAUCUACUCAACCUGACCUCCUUUAUUCCAAACAAGUUUUUGCAUUUCAGAUUUCCACAGCAGCAAGCUGCCAUUAACAGUGUGUGACCAAGUCUGGGCUGUCCAAACACACCCAUCAAAUGCCACUGUCACUGCCUGUGACCCCAGUGCUGAAGAGCAGGUGCAUGGCACCCUGGCCAAGACACACAGGGCUGUUCCUAGAAGAUGCCUGUUCCAGAGCUGGAUUGCUGCCUGCUUCCUGCUCUCCAGGCCUUUAUGUAAUCUUGAAGCAGUGCAGCUUCACCAGGUUCCUUUGUCUUUGUCUAACCAAAGUGCAAAAGCUGUUUUCAGGUGGAAAUUUUACUUAGGACUAUGUAAAAUGUGCACAGCACAAAGAGCUGCAAAAGACCAGGUCAUUCAUUCCAGGUCUGAGUGAAUUCUUUCCCUGUCCACACUUCUCAAACUCUGGCCCAUGUUUUCAGCAGCUGGAGAAACCAUCAACCACAUCACACAAAAGUAAAGACUUAUUCACUUUUUUUUUCUUUUUUUUUUCACAACAAAAGGAGAGCCACUCCUGUGAAAUCCUCUCCAGAUCUGUGGGUCCAGGUUGCUGGUUUUCUCCAUGUAGGCAUGUAAAAAUUAUGAAUUGUGAAAAAAGGAGUGAUGAAGUGCUCUUUGGAGCACUUGCAGAAUAGGCAUAGUUUGGAUAAAGGCAAUUUUUCUUUCUCUAGGUGGAGUUUGAGCCAUUUGAGAGUUGUUAAUUGUACAUUGAUAUGAACAGGAAGGGGAGCAUAACAUAAAGAGGACAGUAACAACCCUGAGGCUGGCUGGGAGACUGGUGUGGCUGCUGGUGUCUUAUGCUGAAGCAGGAAUUGGUUUGACAUUUUGGAGGGGAAGGCAGUGCUGGUCAGUCCUGGCUGCUGUGCUGGGGGCAUGCUGAUUCAAUGGCUCUGAGGAUAAUGCAUUUUGCAGCAGAGAGGAGAUUGUGUCUGUGCAGUUCUCAGGAGGAAUUGUGCCAUCACACCCCACAAACAGCAAGCAGUGCCAAGUUGUGAAAGGGCUUGUGUCAGUAAAUCACCUGUGAUGUUUUUGGCAGGCCAUCUAACCACCACCCAGGGAAGGCUCUCAGACUGGUGAUGCACCAUCUCCUCCCAUUUUGCACUGUCUGCAGGUGAAGGUAGGCUGGAUAUCCCUGCCUUGGCCCCCUAGAGGGACUUCUGGCCAGGACAGUGUAUCCCUGUUUAAGAUUAAACAGAAGUCAGGCAAAGAGAGUAAGAUAUUAACAUUUCCCCAUGAGAUCAUGUAGGAUCCCAGAAAAAACCAUUGCUGAAAACCAAAGAGUCCUCAGUCCCAGACUCAGAGGAGGUGCAGUGCAUGUAAAGCUGUGAAAGUGCCCCAGGAAACCCAGGCCAUUCACAUGGAGUAUGUCCAGCUAUUGAGUAGUAGAGAUACCCAGACACACACAAGGACAGUGUGGAUUUAGACAUUUUGGGGGCUAGACUUGAGUCCUGGAUAAGCUUCAGCUUGGUUCCAACUAACUCAGCUUUAUUAUUUUCUUGAGAGUGAGUACAGUGCAGAGCUCUCUCCCAAAAGCUCUGGAAGCUGCUGGUCCAGUUCAGAAAGGUGGCUGGGUGUGUGAUGCUCCUCUCCAGUGAUUUUUACUGCACAGGAGCUUUUAGCCAGGUUCCGGCAGCAUCCUGGUGACACCAGUGAUAACAGUGCAGAAGCAUUUGGCCUCUUUUGGUUUGGACACUCAUCCAUGAGGCACUGAGAGCUACCUACAGUGAGCUAUUACAGCUGUUGGUCACUGCUGACCUGGGCCAGCUUUGAUUGCUGAUCCUGAGAGGUUUCACUCUGUCAUUCUUCUCCAGAGGUUUCUGCUCUUCCUGGAAAAAAAAUAUUCAAGAGCAUUUCUAAUGGAUGCAGAAAAAACAAACAAACACAUCCCCAGGCUUUUAGGUAUUGCACUGCUUCCUGUGACCCUCUCUCCUCCCAGCAAUGCCUAGAUUUCAGGUUGCAUAGGCUGGGUGGAAUAUAUUUUAGAACAAGACUCUAUUUAGCCGUGAUGUCAACUGCAGCCAACUAUAAAAAGCUCAGUAAUGCUCUUUGAAAGUGUAACAGCUGCUGCUCUACACAGUCCCUGGUGUAUUACAAGUCCGCCCUACUUCAUGUUCACACAACCAAAAUAAAAUACAAUAGCAAUCAUUAAAUAGUUCAAGGAAUUUGGGACAUGAUCUCCCCAGAAACCAGGAGGAAUUCAAGGUUAGACAAACUGAGUAAUUGUGCAUGGUUUGUUAACAGAAAGGGAAUUUACAAAAUUGACUUUUACCUCCCAUUGACUAUGUGCUGUCAAUGAUCCUUACACAGUGACAGAGCAGCAAACCUUCCUUUGGGCAGCUCUGCUGGGUGUUGUUCACACACACAAACUGAGCAUUUUCAUCCUUAACUGGAUUUGGUCAUGUAUAUUUAGAAAAACACUGAUCAGGCCAAAAUUUCCUAUAAAAGCAGGAAAGGAAACAGUUGAACGAAACAUUUUUUAUUAAUCCAGAUGAACAGACAGAAGUGAAUGACUGUGGAAUUAUGCUAGCACUGCCCACCCUCACAGUACUGGAGAGGUGGUUUUGGCUGGGUCUCUGUUAAGGACAGCCUUGAAAUGCUGGAUGUUGUAGUAAAGUGUUUUGGUUUUUGUUUUUUUGCUUUUGUUUUUAAAUCUCAGCAAUAAACAUUCAGGAGUGAUCCCUGCAAUUCA